GGCUUCGUAGCUCAGCUGAACAGAGCAACGCACUUCUAAUGCGUAGGUCGAUGGUUUGAAUCCAUCCGAAGUCACAA
This 77-nucleotide transfer RNA is filed under the name Spirochaetota bacterium. Its description in RNAcentral is "Spirochaetes bacterium tRNA-Arg". It matches the Rfam family "tRNA". From Rfam's summary of the family: Transfer RNA (tRNA) molecules are approximately 80 nucleotides in length. Their secondary structure includes four short double-helical elements and three loops (D, anti-codon, and T loops). Further hydrogen bonds mediate the characteristic L-shaped molecular structure. tRNAs have two regions of fundamental functional importance: the anti-codon, which is responsible for specific mRNA codon recognition, and the 3' end, to which the tRNAs corresponding amino acid is attached (by aminoacyl-tRNA synthetases). tRNAs cope with the degeneracy of the genetic code in two manners: having more than one tRNA (with a specific anti-codon) for a particular amino acid; and 'wobble' base-pairing, i.e. permitting non-standard base-pairing at the 3rd anti-codon position. The record is from RNAcentral. Lineage: Bacteria; Pseudomonadati; Spirochaetota.